RNAcentral lists this ribosomal RNA (440 nucleotides) under uncultured bacterium. Its description in RNAcentral is "partial 16S ribosomal RNA". It matches the Rfam family "Bacterial small subunit ribosomal RNA", at positions 338 to 795 of the family's 1533-position model. The record is from RNAcentral.
CCUACGGGAGGCAGCAGUGGGGAAUAUUGCACAAUGGGGGAAACCCUGAUGCAGCGACGCCGCGUGAGUGAAGAAGUAUUUCGGUAUGUAAAGCCCUAUCAGCAGGGAAGAGAAUGACGGUACCUGAGUCAGAAGCCCCGGCCAACUACGUGCCAGCAGCCGCGGUAAUACGGAGGGGGCAAGCGUUAUCCGGAUUUACUGGGUGUAAAGGGAGCGUAGACGGCGAAGAAAGUGUGAAGUGAAAGCCCGCGGCUCAAACGCGGAACUGCCUUUGAAACUUUUUUGCUGGAGUACCGGAGAGGUAAGCGGAAUUACUAGGGUAGCGGUGAAAUGCGUAGAUAUUAGGAGGAACACCAGUGGCGAAGGCGGCUUACUGGACGGUAACUGACGUUGAGGCUCGAGAGCGUGGGGAGCAAACAGGAUUAGAUACCCCUGUAGUC